CAGUCGCCACGGUAAUACGGAGGGUGCAAGCGUUAAUCGGAAUUACUGGGCGUAAAGCGUGCGCAGGCGGUUAUGUAAGACAGUUGUGAAAUCCCCGGGCUCAACCUGGGAACUGCAUCUGUGACUGCAUAGCUAGAGUACGGUAGAGGGGGAUGGAAUUCCGCGUGUAGCAGUGAAAUGCGUAGAUAUGCGGAGGAACACCGAUGGCGAAGGCAAUCCCCUGGACCUGUACUGACGCUCAUGCACGAAAGCGUGGGGAGCAAACAGGAUUAGAUACCCGCGUAGUCCCUGUCUCUUAUAC
RNAcentral lists this ribosomal RNA (301 nucleotides) under uncultured bacterium. RNAcentral describes it as "partial 16S ribosomal RNA". It matches the Rfam family "Bacterial small subunit ribosomal RNA", at positions 509 to 807 of the family's 1533-position model. The record is from RNAcentral.